Molecule: transfer RNA, 65 nt
Filed under: Cantharis plagiata
Lineage: Eukaryota; Metazoa; Arthropoda; Insecta; Coleoptera; Cantharidae
Description: tRNA-Glu
Source: RNAcentral
AUUUAUAUAGUUUAAGAAAAACCUUACAUUUUCAUUGUAAAAUUAUAUAUUUUUUAUUAUAAAUA